Molecule: ribosomal RNA, 981 nt
Filed under: Triticum aestivum (bread wheat)
Lineage: Eukaryota; Viridiplantae; Streptophyta; Magnoliopsida; Poales; Poaceae
Description: partial small subunit ribosomal RNA
Source: RNAcentral
AUGCUUCGGCUCCGAAGCUGCACCCUCACCCAGCUCCUCUCUUCUCCCUACACCUCCCAUGUCUCUCCUCUCCACCGCCUCCUCUCCGCCGCAGCCGCCUCCGGCAUUUCUCCGGCAGCUUCCCCAGGCUUUGCCGCCGAGGAGUACCUCGUCUCCGCCUGCGGCUUGACCCCAGCCCAGGCCCUCAAGGCCUCCACCAAGCUCUCCCACCUCAAGUCCCCCGCCAAGCCCGACGCCGUCCUCGCCUUCCUCGCCGGCAUCGGCCUCUCCGCCGCCGACGUCGCCACCGCCGUCGCCAAGGACCCGCUGUUACUCUGCGCCGGCGUGGAGAGAACCCUGGCCCCCGUCGUCGACGGGCUCACCGGCCUCGGCCUCUCGCGCUCUGAGGUCGCGCGCAUCACCGUGCUCGUCCCCGGCAGCUUCCGCUGCAGAUCCAUCGUCUCCGCUCUACACUACUACCUGACCCUCUUCGGGUCCAUGGACAACUUGCUCCGGCCGCUCAAACGCGGCUUCUGGCUAUAUGGUGCUGACCUCGAGAGCGUGGUCAAGCCCAAUGUCGCGGUCCUGCGGGAGUGCGGGCUACAUGAUUGCGACAUUGCCAAGCUGUGCAUCCGUGUGCCAAGGAUCCUCAAAAUCAACCAGCAGCGCCUCCGGGCGAUGGUGGCAUGCGCCAAAGUUCUGUGUGUGCCACAUGGCCCUGGGAUGUUACGAAAAGCGUUGGAGGCUGUCGCCUUCUCUGACGAGGAGAAGAUCGCCACCAAGGUGGAAUACCUGAAGAAGACAUUUAGGUGGUCAGAUACUGAGGUGGGCAUUGCUUUGCCCAAGAAUCCGAUGCUGCUGAGGUCUUGCAAGGAAAGGCUGCAACGUGUCGCAGAGUUCCUCAUCUCCGAGGUGGGGUUGGAACCAGGGUACAUUGCUCAUCGGCCGGCGCUUCUCACUUACAGCCUGGAUGAUCGGCUCAGGCCCCGGUACUAUGUGUGA